CCUCCGCCGCACCGCCGCACCUCCACUGCGCUGCCGCCGCUCCACCGACGCCGCUGAGGGAGGUGGAGGAGAGGCUGGAGAGCGUGUACCGGCUGGCGAUGAAAGGGAGGGACAUGGUGGACGCGGGCUACGGCGACGGGUAGGAGGACACCGGCGUGGUGGACGAGGAGGUGGAGCGGGUGCUCCUCGUCGCCAGCUGCGCCACCUGCACGAGCCCUUCGGCCGGAUCCGCGGCCUCCUCAUCCUCGACGUCUCGCGCAAUCAGCUCAAGGUAUCGCUAACCCUACAGCCUGCAUUGCUAUUACCAUUCGAGGAUCCGCGACGUUCCCCAAUUCGCCAUUUUGAUGAGGAGUUCCCAUUGUGAGAGCUACUGCACUCCUCCCUUGUGCAACCUCCCUUGCCUACCCAAGUCCAAAUACAAAUCGACCGCGGAUGAUGUCGCCGCCGCCGCUUCUCCAACUCCGGCCACCGGCGUCGCAGCAGCUUUGGCUGAGGACAAGCCUCCUCCGGUGCAGAAGAUUGAGGCUGCGACGACAGACAAGGACGAUGACGACGAUGAUGAUGAGGCUAGCAAGGAAGUGGUGGUGACCGUGGUUCCCAAGAGUAGCCUGAAGAAGACUAAUUGUGAGGACAGUAAGAAUGUGGUGAAAGGCAAUGCGAAAUGGAUGGAUUUGCUGGGGAGGAUCUCACUGAAGUCAAAGAAUUUGAGCCAAGAGAAUCUGGAGACUCGGAUGAUGAAGAUGGCAACACCUGCAUCUGUGUCAUCCAAUAAGCACUCCCUGGAGAUCAUCACUGUAAAUUCUCUGAAAGGAAAACCCAAAAACAAGUGUAUGGGCCAGCCAUUAGUUGUUUAUUGUCAGUAGAGAGAUCAACAGAGAUCACCCCAUUGUGUUGUUGGUUUAUCUGGAUGGAAUUGGCUUGUGUUGUUGUAUCAGCAGCAGCUUCAGCAGUACAUGUUGCACAUGCAUAGCUUUUAGAGUUUUAGAAGAUUCCUGCCAAAUCUGAUCAAGUUCUUGCCUGUUUUUUGUUCUGGUAACCUGGCUGAGUGGUUGGUGUGUUGUGGUGGCUGGCUGAUCAGCAUUGUACAAGCAAUUUCUUCCUGUCCUGGAAUUGCAGGUGCAACAAUUUCAUUCCCGUAGAAUUUUUUUAAUAUAACUGAAUGUUUGCUAAAAUCAUUUUUUAGUAAAAUCAAAUUCUAGCG
This is an RNA transcript of Oryza brachyantha (malo sina), 1201 nucleotides long. RefSeq lists it as uncharacterized. The transcript has 2 exons. NCBI's taxonomy places the organism in Eukaryota, Viridiplantae, Streptophyta, Magnoliopsida, Poales, Poaceae. The record is from RefSeq and is a predicted model, not a curated record.